Molecule: long non-coding RNA, 2185 nt
Organism: Acanthopagrus latus (yellowfin seabream)
Lineage: Eukaryota; Metazoa; Chordata; Actinopteri; Spariformes; Sparidae
Exons: 3
Source: RefSeq, a predicted model, not a curated record
ACACGGAAACACACCAUGAGCUCGUAUGAACCUUUACACACGUCAGUCGGUAUCAGUGUUAUCAGCCUUGGUUGUUUUGUUUUUUUUUUUUGCGCGCAGGAGCCCGGCAGGAAGUGGCGCCCCCCCUGCGGCCGCUGCGUGCGCAUGUGAUGCCCGUGCGCCCCGACACAGAUCCAUCUGCACGUGUCCGCUCACCAGGAUCAUCCGCGAGAUGUCCUUGCAGUCCUCCACGUUGGCCGCGCGGAUUGAGUAAUCCAUAUUCGGGGUUGUGACUGUGUGUGGGGGUGCGCGCUGGAUGCGGGGACGGUGGUGCUCGCGGUGCGGCGGGUUCCUCUGGUGGGAUCCGGACGGGUGAGACGUUCGGCGAUGACGCGGAGGUGACGCGGCUGUGGCGCUUUGACUCAACCCCACCGAGCGGCCGGCGGAGAGAGCUCCCCGUGUGGACUGAAAGCUGCAUUAAAGGACGAACAACCAAUUACACUGGGCCGGAACAAUCCUCCAGGAGGCCCCCGGGGCGGUGGCCCCUUCAUGUUGUUAAAGGACGUUGAAAACACACAAAGUUAGGUUCAUCGGUUACUCCAAAAUCCAAAAGUUUCACAUUUCAGAUGUUGGAUUAUGUCAAGAGUACAUGUGUGGCCGCGAGUAUAGGUUGUGUGAAUGUAUACAACAAAAACCAGAACAGAGGGCGUUUCGCGCCUUCAGCCAAGAGCAAUUCAUUUAACCCUAACGCCAGGAAAUGGCAUAAGAGAUACAAAGCAAGUCUGCAAACAUGGGGUAUUUCCAGCAGUAGAGCAAAAACCAUCAACAUCAACAUGAUUUAAGGAUAAAAGUGACAUAUAGUUGCUUUGAGUAAUGAAUCCUUUACUAAGGAGGCCUUAUAAUCAAUACGUUUUUAGGUUGCUGUUAAAAAAGUAUUUUAAAAAAUGUUAUCAAGUUUAGUGAGAAUUAAUUCUAAUUCUGGGGAAGCUGUUUCUGAUCUUGGCGCUGCUGUCUGGUCAAAGUUCCCCUUGGACUUGUUGACCACCAGGGCUUCCGCUUUGCAUUUAACAUUUUCUUAAUUGUACACAACAAGCAGCACAUCCAUGCUCCCAAAAUGUGUAACCUUUGUCCAUCUGAAGCUUUCCUCUAGUGCCACCGCAGGCUGAAACUUUAACUUUCAAACAAAGGACGUUUAUAAUUUACCUGGCAAAUUGAAUAAACAUUCAUACCAGGAGGAAUAAAUAGAUAUAUUAAGGUAACCCUAAUGUGCUUUUAUUCUGGAUGAUCUUAACAGUUUCAAAGGAGCAACAUUAUUCAUAUUUAGUUAGCUCCAUCUCCUCCAUCUAACUCUUCCAUUGUACAUGCUGUAAUAAACACUGCGGCCUCUAGGGGUCGCCAGCAGGUUUUAGACUUAUGCUUUUGUUAUGUCCUCCCUUCUACUCAUAAUGAAAUUGACAGUGUGUGUCUCUUUCUGAGUUAUUGGGUGAGGGCCGGGUUCAUCCCAUAAUCGUUCUUCUUCUUCUUCUUUUUUCUUCUCUUAUGAAGCUCAAAGCAGCUGAAUCUCACAGAAGCUGCAGAGGUUAUAUUUAGUUCAAGCCGCCUGUGAUGACGCACGGUGUGGACAUGUCCUCAAACUGUGAUCUUCGGCAGAGAAAAAUAAGAAUGAUCUCAUGCUUAGGUAGCGGCAAGUCCCCACAACCACAGCGCUGCGUUUGAGGAACUGAGAGUGCCUUAAGAGGGAGAAGCGCCGCAGAAAUGAAUGAAGUGAUGACAACAUUAUUCAUCCUGUGAGGUCUGGGAUGACACGUCUUCCCUCGUGGAUCCCUGUCAAAUGAAUUCCCCCGAUCCAGUGACUGAAUCAUGGCAUUUUGUCGAGAGGUGUUGCAAUCAAAAGUCCAUCAUUCUCCAACAGGCAGGUUAGUGAUGAGCAGCAGCAACACCCCCACCCCCACCCACAGCUCUCAGGGUGAAGGCAAUACCAUGCAAGCUCCACUGAGGAUCAUACUGCCCACAAUCACUAUGAAUCUGUGUUGUUUGUUUCCCACUACAAGACUCGUGGAGAAGUUCAAAACACGAGUGCGAUCGGCAUGUGACGACGUUACGAUAGAGUGGUGUUCAUGCAGCGUCGGUCUUAUGACAGUCAGGUCAUUUAUGAUCAGACAGAAUGUGAUCUGAAGUAAAUGUAACAUGUGAUUUUAAAAAUAAA